RNAcentral lists this ribosomal RNA (280 nucleotides) under uncultured bacterium. Its description in RNAcentral is "partial 16S ribosomal RNA". It matches the Rfam family "Bacterial small subunit ribosomal RNA", at positions 515 to 793 of the family's 1533-position model. The record is from RNAcentral.
CCGCGGUAAUACGGAGGGUGCGAGCGUUAAUCGGAAUUACUGGGCGUAAAGCGCAUGCAGGUGGUUUGUUAAGUCAGAUGUGAAAGCCCGGGGCUCAACCUCGGAAUUGCAUUUGAAAACUGGCAAACUAGAGUACUGUAGAGGGGGUAGAAUUUCAGGUGUAGCGGUGAAAUGCGUAGAGAUCUGAAGGAAUACCGGUGGCGAAGGCGGCCCCCCUGGACAGAUACUGACACUCAGAUGCGAAAGCGUGGGGAGCAAACAGGAUUAGAUACCCUGGUAG